AUAUCAAUAAGCGGAGGAAAAGAAACCAACAGGGAUUGCCUCAGUAACGGCGAGUGAAGCGGCAACAGCUCAAAUUUGAAAUCUGGCGUCUUCGGCGUCCGAGUUGUAAUUUGUAGAGGAUGUCUCGGCAAAGCACCGGUCCAAGUACCUUGGAACAGGAUGUCAUAGAGGGUGAGAACCCCGUAUCCGGCCGGCUGUGUCGCCAUGUGAGACUCCUUCGACGAGUCGAGUUGUUUGGGAAUGCAGCUCUAAAUGGGUGGUAAAUUCCAUCUAAAGCUAAAUACUGGCCAGAGACCGAUAGCGCACAAGUA
RNAcentral lists this ribosomal RNA (311 nucleotides) under uncultured eukaryote. RNAcentral describes it as "partial large subunit ribosomal RNA". It matches the Rfam family "Eukaryotic large subunit ribosomal RNA", at positions 40 to 350 of the family's 3401-position model. The record is from RNAcentral.